RNAcentral lists this ribosomal RNA (253 nucleotides) under uncultured bacterium. RNAcentral's name for it is "partial 16S ribosomal RNA". It matches the Rfam family "Bacterial small subunit ribosomal RNA", at positions 524 to 776 of the family's 1533-position model. The record is from RNAcentral.
UACAGAGGUCUCAAGCGUUGUUCGGAUUCAUUGGGCGUAAAGGGUGCGUAGGUGGCGCCGUAAGUCAGGUGUGAAAUUUCGGAGCUCAACUCCGAAACUGCAUUUGAUACUGCGGUGCUUGUGGACUGGAGAGGAGACUGGAAUUCACGGUGUAGCAGUGAAAUGCGUAGAUAUCGUGAGGAAGACCAGUGGCGAAGGCGGGUCUCUGGACAGUUCCUGACACUGAGGCACGAAGGCCAGGGGAGCAAACGGG